UUCGUAGGCGGUGCGGUAAGUCGGAAGUGAAAUCUCUGGGCUUAACUCAGAGGCUGCUUUCGAAACUGCCGUGCUGGAGUGCGGGAGAGGCGAGUGGAAUUGCAGGUGUAGCGGUGAAAUGCGUAGAUAUCUGCAGGAACACCCGUGGCGAAGGCGGCUCGCUGGACCGCAACUGACGCUGAGGAACGAAAGCUAGGGGAGCAAACA
This 207-nucleotide ribosomal RNA is filed under the name uncultured bacterium. RNAcentral describes it as "partial 16S ribosomal RNA". It matches the Rfam family "Bacterial small subunit ribosomal RNA", at positions 568 to 774 of the family's 1533-position model. The record is from RNAcentral.